AUAUGUGUGUUUAUAAUUGGACA
RNAcentral lists this non-coding RNA (23 nucleotides) under Arabidopsis thaliana (thale cress). The record is from RNAcentral. Lineage: Eukaryota; Viridiplantae; Streptophyta; Magnoliopsida; Brassicales; Brassicaceae.